This 1576-nucleotide long non-coding RNA is filed under the name Schizosaccharomyces pombe (fission yeast). The record is from RNAcentral. Lineage: Eukaryota; Fungi; Ascomycota; Schizosaccharomycetes; Schizosaccharomycetales; Schizosaccharomycetaceae.
CUACCAUACACACUAUACUUCAACACUUUCCUCGCUCAACCACUCCAUCAACCAUCCUCUUUCUCCCCAUACAUCUUGAACUCCUUACACCAAUACUUCAUAUCCAUUAGCCAUUUUCCUUUAUAAACAUAUAUUAAACCUCAUCCCAAAUGCAUCUACCCACUCUUUACAUUCACAUCCCUAUUCCUUUAAUAUCUUACGUUCCACUUCCUCAACCAUAGAGCAUUCUUUAUAAAUCACUUUAAUAUGCUUUACUUCCACACACUACUGCUACCAUUGCCUUGCACAGUACUCCCCUUACUCACACACCUUCAAUCACACUCCUAUCUCCAUACAGGACCCAACAUGUAUUAAACAUUAUCCCCCUACACCAUUUUCCCUCAUCAUCCAAUAUGUUUCUACUAUUAUCACACACCGUCUCUACCUCCCGCCAAUUUUAACUGUCUUCAUUUCCACCUACAACUCUCUAUCCACACUUUCUCACCCUAUAAACAUUUAAUACACUCCUACAAUAUACCAUCCCAUCCUAUUAUCAUAUAUACUCCUCCUUCUCAGAUCACAUCCUCUCCAACUCCAUUCACACAUCUUUUUCUUUACACACCCUCACCCACGCUCUCCAUACCUCACGCAAACCAAUAUACACAUACCCAACUCACACUAAAAAAUUAAAUUUUACCUAUCUAUUAAAGAUAUUUACCCUGUGUUGUACCUAAUCCAUCUACAACACCCGCAUAAUCAUUAUUCCUAUUCCUUACUAACAUCAUUACCCCUCCACUAAAUCACAAAAUUGACACUUUUUUAAAAAAUUUGCAUCAAAAAACAGACCACAAUUCUUCACUUUCCUUAACAAUCAACCCUUUUCACUGUAUAUUGACUACUUUUCCAUUUCUUUCACAAUAAAAAACACAAAUACUGUUUUUUUCUCUCAAAUCAUCACCAACCACUCUUCUCAAAAAUAUUAUUUCUACAAUGGCACAGCUCACAUCAAAAUCUUCUUUACAUCCUUCCUUUACACGCAAGCAACCUUCAAACCUUCCUCCUACACGCCAAUAACCAUGACCCUUCGCUAUCAUCCCGUGCAAACCUUUUAAAUCCCUACAAACACUGCACAAAAAUCACAUUUAAACUUAUACCAAUACUCUCGUACCCAUUCUAUAUACGAUCAAAAUCGCCUCUCCACACAACUUUUUGCUUGCAAAAAACUCCUCUCAAACAAAACAUCAACAUCAUAUAUCAACUUUUCACUCUAACUUUUAAAUAUUUUAUAUUCCUCUAUCACCUUCCAUAUCAAUUACUUUACCACUUUUUAUAAUGAAGAUUGAAACAUGCAACAAAUAAUUCAACUUCCUACAUCUCUUAACCAAUUUCAGACUUACUCAUAAAAACACAGACCGCCUCCUUAAACAGCAACCUUACGGUAAACUCACGUUUUGCUAUUUACUACUAUAAACUAAAGGCUUCGAAUUCAUAAUUCCGUUUAGUGUGCUACAACGAAAUGCUUUAUAAUAAUAAAAUAACAUAGUAAGCAUCACUCAUAAUACAUACAGCUACUAAUAAUAAAAUAUCUAUCCACUUU